CACGCCGUAAACGAUGAGCACUAGGUGUCGGGGUCGCAAGACUUCGGUGCCGCAGCUAACGCAUUAAGUGCUCCGCCUGGGGAGUACGCACGCAAGUGUGAAACUCAAAGGAAUUGACGGGGACCCGCACAAGCAGCGGAGCAUGUGGUUUAAUUCGAAGCAACGCGAAGAACCUUACCAGAACUUGACAUCCUUCUGACCGGUUCUUAAUCGAACCUUUCCUUCGGGACAGAAGUGACAGGUGG
Molecule: ribosomal RNA, 245 nt
Filed under: uncultured Eubacteriales bacterium
Lineage: Bacteria; Bacillati; Bacillota; Clostridia; Eubacteriales
Description: uncultured Clostridiales bacterium partial 16S ribosomal RNA
Rfam family: Bacterial small subunit ribosomal RNA
Source: RNAcentral